This 50-nucleotide ribosomal RNA is filed under the name Podosphaera negeri. RNAcentral describes it as "partial 18S ribosomal RNA". The record is from RNAcentral. Lineage: Eukaryota; Fungi; Ascomycota; Leotiomycetes; Helotiales; Erysiphaceae.
UCCGUAGGAUGAACCUUCCGUAGGAUGNAACCAUGACGGAAGGAUCAUUA